This is a non-coding RNA of Vicia faba (fava bean), 234 nucleotides long. NCBI's taxonomy places the organism in Eukaryota, Viridiplantae, Streptophyta, Magnoliopsida, Fabales, Fabaceae. The record is from the annotation of a GenBank genome assembly.
AUGAAUCAUGCUAUCAACAUUUCAUCAUUCAAAAUUAACACAAAUAAAUGCGGCAUUGACAUCAAAACUUCACUCAAGUUUACCACAGAUAACACAUAUAACAUGUAUCGACAUCAAAAUCCAUUAUUUAGUUUUAACACAAAUGACCUGAAACAAACACUGACAUUAACUUUAUUCAAUUUUAACACUAACAAAGUGAUAAUGACAUCAGAAUUUCAUUCAGAUUUAACAUAA